UAAUAUAUUUAAAAUACCCUGAACAUGCCUGAUCCUGUCUGAUCUCGGAAGCUAAGCAGGGUCUGGCCUGGUUAGUACUUGGGUGGGAGACCACCUAGGAAGACCAGGUGCUGUAGGCG
RNAcentral lists this ribosomal RNA (119 nucleotides) under Pteropus alecto (black flying fox). Lineage: Eukaryota; Metazoa; Chordata; Mammalia; Chiroptera; Pteropodidae. The record is from RNAcentral.